AAACUUGAGAGUUUGAUCCUGGCUCAGAACGAACGCUGGCGGCAGGCUUAACACAUGCAAGUCGAACGCCCCGCAAGGGGAGUGGCAGACGGGUGAGUAACGCGUGGGAAUCUACCUAGUUCUACGGA
RNAcentral lists this ribosomal RNA (128 nucleotides) under Devosia ureilytica. Its description in RNAcentral is "partial 16S ribosomal RNA". It matches the Rfam family "Bacterial small subunit ribosomal RNA", at positions 1 to 142 of the family's 1533-position model. The record is from RNAcentral. Lineage: Bacteria; Pseudomonadati; Pseudomonadota; Alphaproteobacteria; Hyphomicrobiales; Devosiaceae.